This 173-nucleotide ribosomal RNA is filed under the name uncultured bacterium. RNAcentral's name for it is "partial 16S ribosomal RNA". It matches the Rfam family "Bacterial small subunit ribosomal RNA", at positions 357 to 524 of the family's 1533-position model. The record is from RNAcentral.
GGGGAUUUUGGCAUGGGCGCAAGCCUGAUCCAGCCAUGCCGCGUGCAGGAAGAAGGCCUUCGGGUUGUAAACUGCUUUUGUCAGGGAAGAAAUCUUCUGGGCUAAUACCCCGGGAGGAUGACGGUACCUGAAGAAUAAGCACCGGCUAACUACGUGCCAGCAGCCGCGGUAAU